Molecule: long non-coding RNA, 147 nt
Organism: Perognathus longimembris pacificus (Pacific pocket mouse)
Lineage: Eukaryota; Metazoa; Chordata; Mammalia; Rodentia; Heteromyidae
Exons: 5
Source: RefSeq, a predicted model, not a curated record
GGCUCCCUGGGGAGCUUCGGGCUUCGGGGCUGGCCACAGGCCACAGGGCCAUGCGCUCCGCUCUAGACGCCAAAGACGCCGACAUGGUCAACUUCUCAUGAAAGUUCACUCUUGGCCUCCGUCUUCCUGUCCUUCAAGUCUCCAAAG